This 253-nucleotide ribosomal RNA is filed under the name uncultured bacterium. RNAcentral's name for it is "partial 16S ribosomal RNA". It matches the Rfam family "Bacterial small subunit ribosomal RNA", at positions 524 to 776 of the family's 1533-position model. The record is from RNAcentral.
UACGUAGGCAGCAAGCGUUGUUCGGAAUUACUGGGCGUAAAGAGUGUGUAGGCGGUGCUUUAAGUUCGGUGUGAAAUCUCCCGGCUUAACUGGGAGGGUGCGCCGGAAACUGGAGUGCUCGAGCGUGGGAGAGGAAAGCGGAAUUCCUGGUGUAGCGGUGAAAUGCGUAGAUAUCAGGAGGAACACCUGCGGUGUAGACGGCUUUCUGGACCAUUGCUGACGCUGAGACACGAAAGCGUGGGUAGCAAACAGG